CAUGGUCACCAUGACUCUACUCCUACAGAUCUCUACAUGUCUCUGAAUCUCUGCUUACAUUUACAGUGCAGUCUGAGACGUUCAAAGGAUCCAUUCUAGCAAAAGGAGUAC
Clupea harengus (Atlantic herring) is the source of this 111-nucleotide long non-coding RNA. RefSeq lists it as uncharacterized. The transcript has 3 exons. Lineage: Eukaryota; Metazoa; Chordata; Actinopteri; Clupeiformes; Clupeidae. The record is from RefSeq and is a predicted model, not a curated record.